AAAUAAGCUAAAAAAUUUUAUUAGACGGAAUAAGAAAUGAAAGAAGGACAAGCUCAAGGCCACAUCCCAUCCAACAACAGAACCCAAAACAACCCUACGAAGAAGCAAAACCAUAAAUAAAGCAAAAGACAGAACACAGAGAAGGAAAACAACAUAAGCAAGGCCAUCAAGAAAUCCAGAGAUUUGCCUUCAGGAAAAUGCAGAUAAAGCACACACCAACUUCAACAAUUAGAUGCUGAUGAAGUUUAG
This 249-nucleotide unclassified non-coding RNA is filed under the name Hevea brasiliensis (rubber tree). Lineage: Eukaryota; Viridiplantae; Streptophyta; Magnoliopsida; Malpighiales; Euphorbiaceae. The record is from RNAcentral.